Molecule: unclassified non-coding RNA, 346 nt
Filed under: soil metagenome
Description: partial contains 5.8S ribosomal RNA, internal transcribed spacer 2, and large subunit ribosomal RNA
Rfam family: 5.8S ribosomal RNA (bases 1-120)
Source: RNAcentral
GAUGAAGAACGUAGCAAAAUGCGAUAAGUAAUGUGAAUUGCAGAAUUCAGUGAAUCAUCGAAUCUUUGAACGCACAUUGCGCCCGCCAAUAUUCUGGCGGGCAUGCCUGUUCGAGCGUCAUUUCAACCCUCAAGCCCUCGGGUUUGGUGUUGGGGAUCGGCGAGCCUUUCUGGCAAGCCGGCCCCGAAAUCUAGUGGCGGUCUCGCUGCAGCCUCCAUUGCGUAGUAGUAAAACCCUCGCAACUGGAACGCGGCGCGGCCAAGCCGUUAAACCCCCAACUUCUGAAUGUUGACCUCGGAUCAGGUAGGAAUACCCGCUGAACUUAAGCAUAUCAAUAAGCGGAGGA